AGGCAAAAUUUCGUGCCAGCAGCAGCGGUUAUACGCAAUUAUAAAUUAAUUUUUUCUGAAUAAAUGAAUUUACCAUACUUUUUCAAAAAAUGAAAUUUCAAAAAAAAAUAAUAAUAAAAUCUUUCUAAUUAAAGAUCUAAACCAGGUAUUAGAUACCCUGUUAUACUUAAAUUAUAUAAUAAUUCAAAGAAUUUCCAACAAAAUAAAUUUGACGGUAUUAACUUUUACAAAGGAAUUUGUUUCUUAAUCGACAAUCCACGAACCUAUCUUACUUAAUAUUUUUCUGUAUACCACCGUAUAUGAAAUUAUUCAAAAUAAAUUUCAAAAAAGAUCUCAAAUCUAAAAAAUCAGGUCAAGGUGCAAUUUUAUUAAGAAGAAAUGAAUUACAUUAACUUAUAUUUACCUAUAAUAGCUGAAACUCUAUUAAAAACAGAAUUUGUCAGUAAAAUUUUAUCAUCAUGAUAUUUUGAAAACUACCAUUAAUAUGUACAUAUCGCCCGUCAUUCUUGUUUAUUUUAAAAAUCAAGAUAAGUCGUAACAUAGUAGGUGUAAUGGAAAUUAGAUCUCCUUAGUUUAAAAUUAAAUUUAGAAUUUAAUAUUUUAA
This 604-nucleotide ribosomal RNA is filed under the name Epiperipatus biolleyi. RNAcentral describes it as "12S ribosomal RNA". Lineage: Eukaryota; Metazoa; Onychophora; Udeonychophora; Euonychophora; Peripatidae. The record is from RNAcentral.